Non-coding RNA from Phascolarctos cinereus (koala), 1487 nucleotides. The record is from RefSeq and is a predicted model, not a curated record. Lineage: Eukaryota; Metazoa; Chordata; Mammalia; Diprotodontia; Phascolarctidae.
GUUUCUACAAGCAAAGUGCACAUAACUGAACAGCAGAUGUGAUCUGUUAGAAAGUAUUCAGCCCUGAUUUGAUCUGCUGUUUCAAAGCAACAAGGCUGAAGCUACACAGACCAUUUUCCUUUGCAGGUGAAGAUUUAUGAUAAGUAAACUGAUGGCUGAAAUAAAUCUGACACUGGCCCUUUGGAGAUUUGGUAUUUUUAACAAGGAAGAUUAUUCACGCUGUAAGGCAAGAACCAAUGAGAGACCAACCAAGCAAGUUCCAACAAUGCCUGCAACAAUUCCCGGGGCCUCUCCUUUGGAGAAAAUUGGACCCAAGAGAACAAUGCCUUUCUUUAUGAGAAUGACUGCAACACAACCAAAAUUAUUCACAAGAAAUUUCAUUUUAUCAUUUAAUCUAUUCCAAUUCUGGUACUUCUGCUGGAUGCAGGGAUAAAUUUCUGAGCAAAUAGCAUCUGAUAAUGACUAGCUUUUUAUGAACUACAGAGCCAAAUGAAAAAACAAAAAGAAAGUGACCAUAUUUUCUCUUAUGUAGAGCCAUGUUUAUUUUGUCCUAUUUUGUAUUUCUCUGAUCUCAAAUUUUGGAUGUAUAUAACACUCCAUACAAAGGAAUAUUUCCAUGUUUAGGUAACUAAUGAAUUCUGUAGAUGGAUGUGUGUGUGUGUGUGUGUGUGCAUGUGUGCCAACCUUAGAAAUAUGAAAUAUCUUGAGACCCAGGUAUGGCCAAGUAUAGGCUGUGAUAUGAAGUUUGAAGAAUAAAUUUCAAAGUUGUCACAUCAGAUAUCAAAUUCCAUAGUCCAUAAUUAGUAUCUUCUAUUUCUAUAAGCAGCCAAAGGAAUGUUUGUGAAAGGGCAUAAGGGGUAUUUUUAAAACACAUUGAGAAAUGAGCUCAAAGUGUCUUGAUUUAUUCAAAAAGACGGACAGUGGGGCAAUAAUUAAAGGAAAAUGAGUAACUUUUACUGUUCAUCUUUAGAUUUUAAAAAAUCAUAUAUUCAAAUCCUUCAAACAUUAAUUGACCUACCCAACCUUCCAAGUUAUCUCAAAAUUAUUGUGUUUCCUAUCAAAAAAGUUCAAGUUGCACUGUCAGCAUGUAGUCUAUUUAUAUUCUAUUUAUAUAUAUAACGAAUCUUAAAAGCCAUUGGGUUCAACCAUUUCAGUUUACAGGAAAUUGAGGCAGAGUGAUAUUAAGUAACUUGCCCAGGAUCAUAUAGCUAGUAAAUAUCAGAAAUGCUAUUUUCCUGAUUCCAAAUCCGGUAUCCAUUCCACUUAGUACAGAUGGUUUCUUCUGAUAAAGUAUAACUUUCCAUUGAAGUGGGAAUGCAAUGUUGGUUGACCUCAAUUAUCUUUCUGUCCACCAAUUUUAGGGUCCAGAAACCAAAUCUUUUUUCUCCCUUUGUUUUAAUUAAUAGAAUGGUUUGCAAUAUCACAAGAUUUCAGAUGUGAUGGAACAUGAAGUUUAGGGCUUUUAUUUUUGUGAUGACUAUAAUUAA